GCAUAUCAAUAAGCGGAGGAAAAGAAACCAACAGGGAUUGCCCCAGUAACGGCGAGUGAAGCGGCAACAGCUCAAAUUUGAAAUCUGGCCCUUGUGGUCCGAGUUGUAAUUUGUAGAGGAUGCUUUUGGUGCGGUGCCUUCCGAGUUCCCUGGAACGGGACGCCAUAGAGGGUGAGAGCCCCGUCUGGUUGGACACCAAGCCUCUGUAAAGCUCCUUCGACGAGUCGAGUAGUUUGGGAAUGCUGCUCUAAAUGGGAGGUAUAUGUCUUCUAAAGCUAAAUACCGGCCAGAGACCGAUAGCGCACAAGUAGAGUGAUCGAAAGAUGAAAAGCACUUUGAAAAGAGGGUUAAAUAGUACGUGAAAUUGUUGAAAGGGAAGCGUUUGUGACCAGACUUGGGCUUGGUUAAUCAUCCAGCGUUCUCGCUGGUGCACUUUGCCAGCCCAGGCCAGCAUCAGUUCGCUGCGGGGGAUAAAAGAUCCGGGAAUGUGGCUCUUCGGAGUGUUAUAGCCCGUUUCUUAAUACCCUGUGGUGGACUGAGGUUCGCGCAUCUGCAAGGAUGCUGGCGUAAUGGUCAUCAACGACCCGUCUUGAAACACGGACCAAGGAGUCGUCUUCGUAUGCGAGUGUUCGGGUGUCAAACCCCUACGCGUAAUGAAAGUGAACGGAGGUGGGAGCCUCGGCGCACCAUCGACCGAUCCUGAUGUUUUCGGAUGGAUUUGAGUAAGAGCAUACGGGGCCGGACCCGAAAGAAGGUGAACUAUGCCUGUAUAGGGUGAAGCCAGAGGAAACUCUGGUGGAGGCUCGCAGCGGUUCUGACGUGCAAAUCGAUCGUCAAAUAUGGGCAUGGGGGCGAAAGACUAAUCGAACCUUCUAGUAGCUGGUUUCCGCCGA
RNAcentral lists this ribosomal RNA (893 nucleotides) under Thyronectria pinicola. RNAcentral describes it as "LSU rRNA". It matches the Rfam family "Eukaryotic large subunit ribosomal RNA", at positions 38 to 964 of the family's 3401-position model. The record is from RNAcentral. Lineage: Eukaryota; Fungi; Ascomycota; Sordariomycetes; Hypocreales; Nectriaceae.